GAACGAAGCGCUUGAACAGAUUUCUUCGGAUUGAAGUUUUUGCGACUGAGUGGCGGACGGGUGAGUAACGCGUGGGUAACCUGCCUCAUACAGGGGGAUAACAGUUAGAAAUGACUGCUAAUACCGCAUAAGCGCACGGUGCUGCAUGGCACAGUGUGAAAAACUCCGGUGGUAUGAGAUGGACCCGCGUCUGAUUAGCUAGUUGGUGGGGUAACGGCCUACCAAGGCGACGAUCAGUAGCCGGCCUGAGAGGGUGAACGGCCACAUUGGGACUGAGACACGGCCCAAACUCCUACGGGAGGCAGCAGUGGGGAAUAUUGCACAAUGGGGGAAACCCUGAUGCAGCGACGCCGCGUGAGCGAAGAAGUAUUUCGGUAUGUAAAGCUCUAUCAGCAGGGAAGAAAUAGGACGGUACCUGACUAAGAAGCACCGGCUAAAUACGUGCCAGCAGCCGCGGUAAUACGUAUGGUGCAAGCGUUAUCCGGAUUUACUGGGUGUAAAGGGAGCGUAGACGGUUGUGUAAGUCUGAUGUGAAAGCCCGGGGCUCAACCCCGGGACUGCAUUGGAAACUAUGUAACUAGAGUGUCGGAGAGGUAAGCGGAAUUCCUAGUGUAGCGGUGAAAUGCGCAGAUAUUAGGAGGAACACCAGUGGCGAAGGCGGCUUACUGGACGAUCACUGACGUUGAGGCUC
This 691-nucleotide ribosomal RNA is filed under the name uncultured Lachnospiraceae bacterium. RNAcentral's name for it is "bacterial SSU rRNA". It matches the Rfam family "Bacterial small subunit ribosomal RNA", at positions 64 to 754 of the family's 1533-position model. The record is from RNAcentral. Lineage: Bacteria; Bacillati; Bacillota; Clostridia; Lachnospirales; Lachnospiraceae.